GAAAAGACAAACCUUGAAUUUCUACGUUCAACGUUUGAUUUUUCAUCUUAUAUAAAAUUUUUUUAUAAUUAAUAUUUUUAUUAUUGUUAGAUGAUAAAACAUGAUUAAUAUUUUAUGCGUGACUUGUCUUUUUAAAUUUUUUAUAUUUUUUCAAAUAAUACGGACGGUCAAACAUUAGAUAUGGAAUUU
This 189-nucleotide microRNA precursor is filed under the name Oryza nivara. Its description in RNAcentral is "MIR812 microRNA precursor family". It matches the Rfam family "MIR812 microRNA precursor family". The record is from Rfam by way of RNAcentral. Lineage: Eukaryota; Viridiplantae; Streptophyta; Magnoliopsida; Poales; Poaceae.